CUACGGGGGGCAGCAGUGGGGAAUAUUGCACAAUGGGGGAAACCCUGAUGCAGCAACGCCGCGUGGAGGAUGACGCAUUUCGGUGUGUAAACUCCUUUUAUAUCCCAAGAUAAUGACGGUAGGAUAUGAAUAAGCACCGGCUAACUCCGUGCCAGCAGCCGCGGUAAUACGGAGGGUGCAAGCGUUACUCGGAAUCACUGGGCGUAAAGGGCGCGUAGGGGGGUUGUCAAGUCUUGAGUGAAAUCCAACGGCUCAACCGUUGAACUGCUUGAGAAACUGGCAGCCUAGAGUGAGGGAGAGGUAGAUGGAAUUGGUGGUGUAGGGGUAAAAUCCGUAGAGAUCACCAGGAAUACCCAUUGCGAAGGCGAUCUGCUGGAACUCUACUGACGCUGAGGCGCGAAAGCGUGGGGAGCAAACAGGAUUAGAUACCCCGGUAGUC
RNAcentral lists this ribosomal RNA (439 nucleotides) under uncultured bacterium. RNAcentral's name for it is "partial 16S ribosomal RNA". It matches the Rfam family "Bacterial small subunit ribosomal RNA", at positions 339 to 795 of the family's 1533-position model. The record is from RNAcentral.